Molecule: ribosomal RNA, 500 nt
Filed under: uncultured bacterium
Lineage: Bacteria
Description: partial 16S ribosomal RNA
Rfam family: Bacterial small subunit ribosomal RNA
Source: RNAcentral
AUUGAACGCUGGCGGCAGGCCUAACCCAUGCAAGUCGAGCGGAUGACGGGAGCUUGCUCCUUGAUUCAGCGGCGGACGGGUGAGUAAUGCCUAGGAAUCUGCCUGGUAGCGGGGGACAACGUUUCGAAAGGAACGCUAAUACCGCCUACGUCCUACGAGAGAACGCAGGGGACCUUCUGGCCUUGCGCGAUCAGAUGAGCCUAGGUCGGAUUAGCUAGUUGGUGGGGUAAUGGCUCACCAAGGCGACGAUCCGUAACUGGUCUGAGAGGAUGAUCAGUCACACUGGAACUGAGACACGGUCCAGACUCCUACGGGAGGCAGCAGUGGGGAAUAUUGGACAAUGGGAGAAAGCCUGAUCCAGCCAUGCCGCGUGUGUGAAGAAGGUCUUCGGAUUGUAAAGCACUUUAAGUUGGGAGGAAGGGCAGUAAGUUAAUACCUUGCUGUUUUGACGUUACCGACAGAAUAAGCACCGGCUAACUCUGUGCCAGCCGCCGCCGUAA